UCAGGAAAGACGGUCCCUACGGGUUGGUAAACUAGCUUUUGUACCGGAAUAAACCCCGAUUCGUGAAAUCGGGUUGAAUGUACGGUAAGAAUAAGGAUCGGCUAACUCCGUGC
This 113-nucleotide ribosomal RNA is filed under the name uncultured bacterium. Its description in RNAcentral is "partial 16S ribosomal RNA". The record is from RNAcentral.